AUUCAUUGCCGUGGCCGGCGGGCACUGGGGCCCCGUGUUUUCAGAGUCAUGGAGGCGCUAAUUCCUGUCAUUAACAAGCUCCAGGACGUCUUCAACACGGUGGGCGCCGACAUCAUCCAGCUGCCUCAAAUCGUCGUAGUGGGAACGCAGAGCAGCGGAAAGAGCUCAGUGCUAGAAAGCCUGGUGGGGAGGGACCUGCUUCCCAGAGGUACUGGAAUUGUCACCCGGAGACCUCUCAUUCUGCAACUGGUCCAUGUUUCACAAGAAGAUAAACGAAAAACAACAGGAGAAGAAAAUGGGGUGGAAGCAGAAGAAUGGGGUAAAUUUCUUCACACCAAAAAUAAGCUUUACACGGAUUUUGAUGAAAUUCGACAAGAAAUUGAAAAUGAAACAGAAAGAAUUUCAGGAAAUAAUAAGUGUCUAAAAGAUGAAAAGUCCCCCAACCCCAAAUCUAUGAAACAUCUCUUCUUUCCCAAAUCACGGAGUAAGCCCUGAACCAAUUCAUCUUAAGAUUUUUUCACCCAACGUUGUCAAUUUGACACUUGUGGAUUUGCCA
This 556-nucleotide small RNA is filed under the name Pongo abelii (Sumatran orangutan). RNAcentral's name for it is "processed transcript". The record is from RNAcentral. Lineage: Eukaryota; Metazoa; Chordata; Mammalia; Primates; Hominidae.